Molecule: ribosomal RNA, 779 nt
Filed under: uncultured Plasmodiophoridae
Lineage: Eukaryota; Endomyxa; Phytomyxea; Plasmodiophorida
Description: SSU rRNA
Source: RNAcentral
GCCAGCAGCCGCGGUAAUACCAGCUCCAAUAGCGUAUAUUAAAGUUGUUGCAGUUAAAAAGCUCGUAGUUGGACUUGUGUGCGUUGCUGGGCAGUGGUCUGCGCUCAAAAGAGCGUUUCGACUCGCUCCCUCAYCGCCUGAGAUUUGGAACUGGAUCGAUGCGGGCCUUAACUGGCCCAUCAUUGAGUGCGGGUUCCUCGUUUACUGUGAGGAAAUUAGAGUGUUCAAGGCAGGCGUUUUUGCAAUUGAAUAUAUUAGCAUGGAGUAAUAAGAUAGGGCUCCGGCUAUUUUGUUGGUUUUGACAGCGGGAGUAAUGAUUGAUAGGGACGGUUGGGGGUGCUAGUAUUCAGCGGSCCAGAGGYGAAAUUCAUGGAUUCGCUGAAGACUAACUUAUGCGAAAGCAUUCACYAAGGACGUCCUCUUUMAUCAAGAACGAAAGUUGRGGGAUCGAAGACGAUCAGAUACCGUCGYAGUCUCAWCCAUAAACUAUGUCGACUAGGGRUCGGUKGUCGUUUUUACAAAAGACUCCAUCGGAAUCUCGUGARAAAUCMAAGUGWUUGGACUCUUGGGGAAGUAUGGUCGCAAGGCUGAAACUUAAAGGAGUUGACGGAAGGGCACCACCAGGAGUGGAGCCUGCGGCUUAAUUUGACUCAACACGGGGAAACUUACCAGGUCCAGAGAUGUAGAGGAUUGACAGAUUGAAGCUCUUUCCUGAUCACUUCGGUGGUGGUGCAUGGCCGUUCUUAGUUGGUGGAGUGAUUUGUCUGGUUAAUUCCGUU